This 4855-nucleotide long non-coding RNA is filed under the name Sus scrofa (pig). RNAcentral describes it as "lncRNA (ENSSSCG00000060341.1)". The record is from RNAcentral. Lineage: Eukaryota; Metazoa; Chordata; Mammalia; Artiodactyla; Suidae.
UCUCUAUUUUGUGAAUGAGGAAAGAAGCUGAAAGGAGUUAAAUGACUUGCCCAAGUCACAAGUUAAUAAACAGAGGAGCUAGACUUCAGAAUUAGAUUCCUGUCUGGUGCUCCUUUUCCUAUACCUGCCGUCAAUUAUCCAAAGCUCACCAACAUUUAGGGAAGUACCAUACAAAGAAGCAUAAUUUAAAUUAAUAGAGAUUCCACACUGACUAUUAAAUUAUCACAUGUAAAUUAAUUAUAAUAUUCAAAUAUGAAGGAAGAUACAUGAUUUGCUAUUCUCACACCUGCCUAGUGGAUUGAAAAUUCAGAAGAUUUGCAUGUAGCGAAGUUCAAAAAUUUUCAAAUCUUUUUAUCUAAUAUUUCCACAAUAAGUAAUCCAUAUUUAAUUAAAAUGGAAAAAAAAGUUUUAUAUACCAAGUUGUUUGUUAAUAUUUAUUUUUAAUUAUGACACAAAGUAAAUAUUUCUCAAAGACUAGAGUGAUUUAAUAGUUAGACAAAGCAGUGGAAUAUUAUACAACCAUUAAAAUAACGUUUACAAGGAGUUCCAGUCAUGGCUCAGUGGUAACAAACCUGACUAGUGUCCAUGAGGAUGCAAGUUUGAUCCCUGGCCUCAGUCACUGGGUUAAGGAUCCAGCAUUGCCACAAGCUGUGGUGUAGGUCACAGACACGGCUCUCAGCUGGUGAUGUUGUGGGUGUAGCGUAGACUGGCAGCUGCAGCUUUGAUUCGACCCUGGCUUGGGAAUUUCCAUAUGCCAUGGCUGUGACCCUAAAAAGCAAAAAUAAAUAAAUAAAUGAAUGAAUUAACUAAAAAAAAUAAUGUUUACAUGCUUUUAAUACUAUGGAAGAUUUGUUAAUGAAGAAAAGCAGAGCAUAUAGGGCUUCAGAGAAGAUAGAAGGAAAUAGCUGAAAUGUCAUCAGUAAUUGGAAUGAUGGAAUUAUGAGUAAUAAUACAUGCACACUUUUUUUUCUGCUUCUCUGCAUUCUGAAGUGUUUCCAAAAUGACUACUUUUUUCUUUAUAAUUUAAAACCACAUUUUUUAAAAGGUAAAAAAAAUGUAAAAAUGCAGUUUUUCAAAAUCAGAAGAAAGCAUCUGGUGAACUAGUAUGAUACUCUGGUUAGUGCUUUUUUUUUGAAAUCGAGGAAUCUGGUUGAGUUCAAGUUGUGGGUUCUGUAUGCUAACCAAUCUCUCAAGGAUCUUUCUGCAUCUGUUUCCUAGGACUACUGGAUCAGAAUGACCAGUUACCACCUCUCGGCUAAAAACUUUCAAGUCUUCCUUUCUAAGGGCACGCCGAUGCCUUUCAGGGUGAUUCCUAAUUGUAUACAGUUGGGGUGCGGGGCAGGGCUGCCUUUCCAUUCUUUCUCCUCCUCUAGGUUACCCCUAUGCUUGUACCCUGUAGCUCUAGAACAUAGUGUUAGGUGAAGAUCAUCUGAUUUCCAGCUGAUCAGAUAUUUUCUGCAGUACACGCCCUUCCAUUGAACUGAACUAGAAUCGAGUUCCAUUGCUUUGCAUCCAGAAUGCUGACUAACAAACACACUGACAACCAUUCUGCACUGGAGUAUGAGCAAAUACUUUCCUUCAGGUCUAUAAAAGUUAGCAAGGAAGCAUUUUCAGUAUCCAAAUAAAAUUAAGGUAAAGGCUAAUGGCUGUAACAUAACACCUCACCCAGAAAGACCUAGGGAAAACAUCAAAGGGCACCAUACAUCAAUUCAAAGCUUUAAAAGGGGUUUAAUGUCAUAAACACGUUUUAGGCUUCAGUAUGAUCUGAAAACGAAUAUUCUCAGAGUAGCCACGAAUGGGUGGGCUCAGAGAGAUCACAGUAUGUCAUUUUAUAACUUGAAUCAGAAGGCUGCAGUAUAUUGCAGGGUUCUUGAUUAUCUUACACCUCCUAGAUGCAGGCUUUUUUUUUGUAUUUAUUCUGGCUGUUCUUCAAGACCUUUUCUUGAGAAGGACAUGGUCUUUGGCCAGUUUAAGCUACUGUCAGUGUUCUGAAGAUAACCUGCUAAUGCUUCAAUUCCUUUGUAAUUAAAAUUUUCCUGGAGUGGUGCAUUGGAUUUGUAAUAACUCUCUCAUGACAGCAAAGCCAAGCAGAAGACCCAAGCCUGUGUCCUAUAGUCCUUUACAGAAUAACGGUCCCCACAACAGAUACUCAGCUUCUUACGGCAGCUUUAACUCAAUGAGGCAAGUGUUCUCUUAGAGGGUACAGAAACCAAAGCAGCUUUUAAAACAAGAAGCUGACAUAAUUGACUUUGAGUUCUGUCCUAAAGAGAUAUUUCCUCAGCUUUGGUUCUAUUUUUUUUAGCUAGCCAAUUAACCAGGAUAACAACUUUGACUUGCAAGUAGAUUUCUUCCGAAGAAUGCAAACAAAGCCACCAUCUCUUUAAAAACAGCUGUGGGGCAGGAGGCUCUAGGUUUUGAUGGGCCAGAUCUUGCAUUUAUUUUGCCCUGUAUUGACUGUUAGCCCUCCUCUCUCUCUCCAUCCCCGCCUCCCACUUUCCAGCUUACCUUGGGUGAGGCGUGCGGGAGCUGCUGCCAGGUCUUCUGGAAAGGUGAGAGCAGGAGGAUGACACAGCAUUUUUAGGACUCCAUAAAACCAAGAGCCUCUGCUUCCUCUUUAGAGACAAAGUAAUGCCCUAGGUGCUGCCACUUAUAAUGUUGUCUAAUCUAGAGGUAAAACCUCUCUUCCUUAUUUCUUCCCAGCCAUGCCAAUUCUCUCCUUCAUACCCUGGUGUCUUCUCCUCCCCUUUUAGCAACUGGAGACUUUAUUACUGAACCUCAGAGGUCAUCAGAUGAGCUCAAUUUGCCCUUCUCCACCUUCCUCUGCCUUCAACUGGCUAUGCCUUUUUCAGGCACACAAUUCUCUUCCCUGCCCGAGUUCCCUUGCUUUCUGCCUCGGAGACACCAUUUGGCCUAGGUGACCUUUCUGAUUCACAAAAGUAAUCUCUUUCUCAUGUUCUCUUUUUUUGGGGGUAAAAGUUUGCCUUUAUUUUUUGUUUGUUCCAUCCUUCCUAUGACCAGGUAUUAUAAACACUGGGGUGCAAUGGUAAUAAUCAUGCAGGGUCCCUGUGCUCAGACCUCACCAUCCAGUAGAGAAACAGGAAAUGAAUGGCUGUGGAUAGAAUAAGUAGUGGGGUGAGUGUGACUGUAUGGACUUAAUCCCUCCAACCUUGUUGUUGGGCUGGGGGAUGUCUUCCCUGAUAAAGUAAGAGCUCAGUGAGCAGGGAGUGAAGUAGGAGUCAGUUAGGUGAAGUGGGGGAGUUAACAAACUAAGGAAACAGAUUUUUUUGUGUGUUCUAUGCAUAUAGUUGUGGAAUUUUUGGAAAAUAGAAAAGGAUAAUGAAUGGAAAACAUUAUCUUAAACCCUCAUUAUUCAAAUAUUAACCAUUAAAAUUAUGGCACCUUUUCUUCUAAUCUUGGGUGUAGGUGUCGGGGGGAAGAUGAGGAAGUCAUGAAGAAAUGAGCCAGAUUCUGCAUUUUUCAAAUUAUUUACUGUAUAGUCAAUGUUGAGUCUUGCUUUUUUUUUUUUCCACUUAAAACUGUACUAUAAGCUUUGCUUCACUCCAUUAAAUCUUUCAAAAACAUCAUUUUAAUGGCUCAUUUAGUCUUUCCACAGGAGUCCCUCCUGGUUUCUCUCCUUCCUGUCCUCACACCAGUAAUCUCUCUUGUUCAUGCCUCCAAAUCAGACUCACCCUCUCAGUGUUCUUUGAGAAUUGAUAAUAUCGGUCACAUUUGUAAUCUCCAUCAUUUGUGUGAAUUGAGAAUACCCAGCCCUGAAAAUAAUUGUAUCAAAGGUGCCUAAACCCAGGGCACUUCAGGUAUCCUCCUUUACUGCCUUUGGGAUUCCCUUCCAUGGGUGGUCAGUGUUUCUGACUAAUCUAUCAAUUGAUAUUCCUUUAGAACAUAAACAAGAGUCCAAAGCCAAUACACCUUGGCUAAAUCUGCCCUGAAGCUUUUUUGGACUCCUUUCAUUGGGUAACAUCUCAGUCCUUCCCACUGUGAGUUAUUGAUGUUGCCACUCAUCAUUUGCCUUGGAACUUUUCCUUUAAUUAGGGUUAGAGAUGGGUUUGGGACCUCAAGUGCCAGAUAUUGAUAGUUUCUGCUGCUGAAAUAGUAAAUUCACAGGCAGCUGUUGGGCAAAUCCAGGCGUGGAAGUCACCAGCCUCACCCCUGUAUUUCCUCCUGUCACUGUCAUCGUCACCACCAUCUGCGUUAUCAUUACUAUUGGUAGCGCUCACAGCAAGUUCUAUGUGCCAGUCAUUGUGCUUUGUCGGUUACUCAUAGUAUGCUCUUGAAAUUUCAAAAUAACCACCGGAGGUAAGUGUUAAUUGGCAUCCCUACCUCCAAGAAUUAGGUCAAAAUCAGCUAGUAAAUGUCUAGGUUAAUGACCGAACCAGAUUUAUCUGAUUCCAGAGUGCGGUGUCUGAUCUUAGGAGACAAGGCUGAGAAAGGAUGUGUGCGUACGUGCGUGCAUGCAUGCGCAAGUGUGUGUGUGUGUGUGUGGGGGGAAGCAGAGAGGAGAAAAAUGGGAGAAGCAGAGUUAGAAAAAAGAAAGACUGGAGAAUAUUUUCACAUGAGGGAUAUUUGACAGAGUUCAUUAGCCUUUAUGUUUCUGACUUCAAAAAAGGCCAUUAGGGGCUUCUCAUUGUGGCGUAGCAGAAAAAACCCAGCUAGUAUCCAUGAGGAUGAGGGUUCCAUCCCUGGCCUCGCUCCGUAGGUUAAGGAUCUGGCGUUGCGGUGAGCCGUGGUGUAGGUUGUGGACGCGGUGGGGAUCCCGCAUUGCUGUGGCUGUGGUGUAGACCAGCAGAUGUUGUAGCUCCAAUUCCGUGAUUCCACCCCUAGCCUGGGAACUUCCAUA